AGCGCAGACGGAACUGCAAGUCUGAUGUGAAAGCCCGGGCUCAACCGCGGGACUGCAUCGGAUACUGUAGAUCUGGAGUGCCGGAGGGGCAAGCGGAAUUCCUGGUGUAGCGGUGAAAUGCGUAGAUAUCAGGAGGAACACCGGCGGCGAAGGCGGCUUGCUGGACGGCAACUGACGUUGAGGCUCGAAAGCGUGGGGAGCAAACA
Molecule: ribosomal RNA, 206 nt
Filed under: uncultured bacterium
Lineage: Bacteria
Description: partial 16S ribosomal RNA
Rfam family: Bacterial small subunit ribosomal RNA
Source: RNAcentral